GUGCCUUGCGAAAGUAUUCGGCCCCCUUGAACUUUGCGACCUUUUGCCACAUUUCAGGCUUCAAACAUAAAGAUAUAAAACUGUAUUUUUUGUGAAGAAUCAACAACAAGUGGGACACAAUCAUGAAGUGGAACGACAUUUAUUGGAUAUUUCAAACUUUUUUAACAAAUCAAAAACUGAAAAAUUGGGCAUGCAAAAUUAUUCAGCCCCUUUACUUUCAGUGCAGCAAACUCUCGCCAGAAGAGAUCUCUGAAUGAUCCAAUGUUGACCUAAAUGACUAAUGAUGAUAAAUACAAUCCACCUGUGUGUAAUCAAGUCUCCGUAUAAAUGCACCUGCACUGUGAUAGUCUCAGAGGUCCGUUAAAAGCGCAGAGAGCAUUAUGAAGAACAAGGAACACACCAGGCAGGUCCGAGAUACUGUUGUGAAGAAGUUUUAUAUCUUUAUGUUUGAAGCCUGAAUUGUGGCAAAAGGUCGCAAAGUUCAAGGGGGCCGAAUACUUCGCAAGGCACUGUAGGUACGGUAGACACCAGAUAGGUACUGUAGACACCAGAUAGGUACUGUAGACACCAGAUAGGUACUGUAGACACCAGAUAGGUACUGUAGACACCAGAUAGGUACUGUAGACACCAGAUAGUCAGAUAGGUACUGUAGACACCAGAUAGUCAGAUAGGUACUGUAGACACCAGAUAGGUACUGUAGACACCAGAUAGUCAGAUAGGUACUGUAGACACCAGAUAGUCAGAUAGGUACUGUAGACACCAGAUAGUCAGAUAGGUACUGUAGACACCAGAUAGGUACUGUAGACACCAGAUAGGUACUGUAGACACCAGAUAGGUACUGUAGACACCAGAUAGGUACUGUAGACACCAGAUAGUCAGAUAGGUACUGUAGACACCAGAUAGUCAGAUAGGUACUGUAGACACCAGAUAGUCAGAUAGGUACUGUAGACACCAGAUAGGUACUGUAGACACCAGAUAGGUACUGUAGACACCAGAUAGGUACUGUAGACACCAGAUAGGUACUGUAGACACCAGAUAGUCAGAUAGGUACUGUAGACACCAGAUAGGUACUGUAGACACCAGAUAGGUACUGUAGACACCAGAUAGGUACUGUAGACACCAGAUAGUCAGAUAGGUACUGUAGACACCAGAUAGUCAGAUAGGUACUGUAGACACCAGAUAGGUACUGUAGACACCAGAUAGGUACUGUAGACACCAGAUAGCUACUGUAGACACCAGAUAGGUACUGUAGACACCAGAUAGUCAGAUAGGUACUGUAGACACCAGAUAGUCAGAUAGGUACUGUAGACACCAGAUAGUCAGAUAGGUACUGUAGACACCAGAUAGGUACUGUAGACACCAGAUAGUCAGAUAGGUACUGUAGACACCAGAUAGGUACUGUAGACACCAGAUAGUCAGAUAGGUACUGUAGACACCAGAUAGGUACUGUAGACACCAGAUAGUCAGAUAGGUACUGUAGU
Oncorhynchus keta (chum salmon) is the source of this 1481-nucleotide long non-coding RNA. RefSeq lists it as uncharacterized. The transcript is spliced from 3 exons. Lineage: Eukaryota; Metazoa; Chordata; Actinopteri; Salmoniformes; Salmonidae. The record is from RefSeq and is a predicted model, not a curated record.